AUACGGAGGGUGCAAGCGUUACGCGGAAUCACUGGGCGUAAAGCGCGCGCAGGCGGGCUGAUAAGUUGGAUGUGAAAGCCUACGGCUCAACCGUAGAACUGCAUCCAAAACUGUCAGUCUAGAGUGUGGGAGAGGAAGAUGGAAUUAGUUGUGUAGGGGUAAAAUCCGUAGAGAUAACUAGGAAUACCAAAAGCGAAGGCGAUCUUCUGGAACAGUACUGACGCUGAGGCGCGAAAGCGUGGGGAGCAAACAGGAUUAGAUACCCUAGUAGUCC
Molecule: ribosomal RNA, 274 nt
Filed under: uncultured bacterium
Lineage: Bacteria
Description: partial 16S ribosomal RNA
Rfam family: Bacterial small subunit ribosomal RNA
Source: RNAcentral